GAUGAGAACGUAGCGAAAUGCGAUAAGUAAUGUGAAUUGCAGAAUUCAGUGAAUCAUCGAAUCUUUGAACGCACAUUGCGCCCUCUGGUAUUCCGGGGGGCAUGCCUGUUCGAGCGUCAUUAUAACCACUCAAGCUCUCGCUUGGUAUUGGGGCUCGCGGUUCCGCGGCCCCUAAAAUCAGUGGCGGUGCCUGUCGGCUCUACGCGUAGUAAUACUCCUCGCGAUUGAGUCCGGUAGGUCUACUUGCCAGCAACCCCCAAUUUUUACAGGUUGACCUCGGAUCAGGUAGGGAUACCCGCUGAACUUAAGCAUAUCAAUAAGCGGAGGA
RNAcentral lists this unclassified non-coding RNA (328 nucleotides) under soil metagenome. RNAcentral's name for it is "partial contains 5.8S ribosomal RNA, internal transcribed spacer 2, and large subunit ribosomal RNA". The stretch from base 5 to 119 matches the Rfam family "5.8S ribosomal RNA", at positions 40 to 154 of the family's 154-position model. The record is from RNAcentral.